CGAGGAUGAAGAGGGGAAGGGAGACAUUAGGGGAGGUCUGCUCAGCUGUGGACCUGCAGAAGGAAGGAAGGAUCCGCGAUAACCUCCACCAUGGCCUGGUCUCCUCUCCUCCUCAUCCUCCUCGCUCACUGCACAGUGUCCUGGGCCCAGUCUAGGUUGACUCAGCCGCCCUCAGUGUCUGGUUCUCUGGGCCAGAGGGUCACCAUCUCCUGCGCUGGAAGCAGCUCUAAUAUUGGUGGUUAUGGUGUGAACUGGCACCAACAAUUCCCAGGAAUGGCCCCCAAAACCAUCAUCUAUAGUGAUAACAAUCGACCCUCCGGGGUCCCAGAUCGAUUCUCCGGCUCCAGGUCUGGCAACACAGGCACCCUGACCAUCACUGGGCUCCAGGCUGAGGACGAGGCUGAUUAUUACUGCUCAUCGUGGUACAGCAGUGGCACAGACCAUUCUUAGACAAAGAGUCUUCAU
Herpailurus yagouaroundi (jaguarundi) is the source of this 465-nucleotide non-coding RNA. The record is from the annotation of a RefSeq genome assembly. NCBI's taxonomy places the organism in Eukaryota, Metazoa, Chordata, Mammalia, Carnivora, Felidae.